AAAGAGCGAGCGAGCGAGAGAGAAUUAAAGGGUAAAAUCGGCCGCGGCAAUAGAAGCAGCAAUCACCUGGUCUCCGGGCUUUCCUAGAAACUCCUUGCAUCACCACUUCUAAGAACCCCAGUUCUAAGAAUCAACAGAGCCCAAUUCUCGGAAUUUGAGCUGCGGACUCUACCAUCGCGGCAAGCACGGGGAGGCCCGCGGACCUCCCCCCUCCGCUUCAUCUCCUCCGCCGCUACCCUCCCGGCUCCCGCGGCCCACCCCGCGCCGCCCGUCACGGGCGGAGUAGUGGGGGGCGCGGGAUCCGAGAAGGCGACGGCAGCGGCGAGGGUCCCAUCGAGCCGUUUUCCCUUCGUCGACCCCCUCCCCUCUCCCCUUUCUCAAUGGUCUCGGCCGGGCGGCCGGGUGGUCACGUGGCCGGCGGGUGCUGUGUGUGACGUGGGGGCGCGGCGGGGUGGCGGCGCGCGGCCGCGGUGCCGCCGCGCGCGGUGCGGAGCGGAGCGGAGCAGCGACAACGGCGACGGCGACGGCGACAAGCGAGCAGCGAUCGGGGGGUCCCGGGUGCAACGCCGGACUCUGCAGUGGUGGGUUCAUUCUUUGUAGCUGUUGUUGUUAUUAAUGCUAAAUAACCUGUAAGUCUGUAAAUAACUCUGCUUGUAUGGAAAUGUUGCACUCUGUCGGGGAUGCGAAACCGCGUUGGCUUUUCUGGAAGGGGUUUUAUUUCGGCAGUUUGCCUAUUGCUGGGUAAAGGCCUUUGCUGGGAGAUGGGGGGGGGUGGUGGGGACAUCUCGCAAAGCCUGUGCGGUCCGUGUGUCGGGUGGGUUGUGCAGGGGGGUGCAGAGGAAGGGUCCACCCCAGCCUUCCCCGGGACCUGUAUGGAAAUGUAUUGCCCUGUAUGUAAAUCCCUCGAGAUUAUGCCUGUACCCCUGACUUGUGUAUUUAUUCCGAGCGGGCCUGCUGCGAGGGUUUGUUUGUCUUGCAGGGGGGGGAAGAGAGGGGGGUCGAGAAUGGAUCAUCAAAUUGCAUGUCUCGUUUCUCUCUCCCCAGCGGAUUUUCGGGCUGCGAGGCGUGGUGGCAUGGAGCAGGGAGAUGGCAUGCUCCGGGCUGCGAUGGCAUUCCCGGGCCCUUGCAAUUAAUUGAAAUUUGUUUAUGAGAGUAACCACCGCGGGUCACAGUGCCCUCGGUCCUCUAGUAGAAUUGCUCGGAGCUACUGAUUCAGUCACUGCUGAGCCCCGUGGAGCAGCCACCUUGGAUGCUAAGUCCCCGGGUGCUGCUUUUAUUUUGAUUUCUCGGUUGAGCUCUUGAAGCAAACUGCUUUAAAGCGGAGGUGGGGGGGGUGCAUUAGGAAGAAAGUCCUUCUGCUAAUGCGACUCAUCAUCAAAAACAGCCUGGUGACAAGACAGGGAUGAUACUCCCGAGACACUUGAGAUGGUACAGAUAUGCUGGAGAGGUGGCUUUCCUGUAGUUAAAAUGCAGUAUGUAAUUCCCAGUUAGUGCGGGCAGCUUGGGCUGUGCCACUACAGUCCCGGGCAGGGAGGAGGAGGCUCCCGGGUGUCCGCAAGCAGCCAGCAGACAAAACAGACCCAAUAAUACGAACUCUGCUUUACGGUUUUGAUAUGUAUGGUUUGUUUGUCUUGGGUGUUGUUUGUUUUUUACAGCAAUGUAAUUAAAAUGAAGGGGGUUGUUGAGGGGAGGUAGAUCUUCUCUGUUUGUCGUUUCUCCGCAGCGUGUGACGCUUUCGCUUUAGCCAGAGCCCAGCAGAGCCCAGCGCCUGUGGGACGGGACGCUGGGGAGCAGCAAGAAAGCUGCCGCUGGGGGUUCUUUUUUUUCUGGUGGAGACCUGAGGUCGAGCACGACUUCUGUCUAAGUAGCACUUUUACAGUGGAGAUUUUUCGCUCUUCCUGGCCGCCACCAAGCUGGGCUUGCAUCAGAGUUUCCAUUCUAACCCUUCUCGUUACAAGGACAUAGAGAGCAGCCACCGGCAUCCCCGUCGUGCUGGGAACUAGGCUGCCUGGGCGCCUUUGAAGGUUUUUCGGCCUUUCUGCUCUGGUUUCAUACUUUCUCUUCCCCUGGCUCUGUCACCUGGGACCCAGCUGCAGCUCCCCUGGGGUUUCUGCCACCAGUCCUCACCUCCCACUGCUUCCUUCUGCCUCCCAAAGGCAGCAGCAGUGGUCUCCAUGGUCCUCACCAGAGAUUUCAAGCUGCCAGGGAUGAGGCCAUUUCCCUGGGACCCCUCUUUCCUGUCAGCCAGAGCCAUCAGUGCCAAGUGAGGCCUUGCCACCGUCUUCCCUUGCCUGUCUCAUCUGUGUCCCAGCUCUGGGCACCAGCUUGGCAGUGGCUGGUGGUCGUGGUGGCUGCCAGGAGGACAGGGCAGUGACAUUCCAGCAGGAUGACCUCCCUCGCCUGCUGAAAGCAAGUGGCUUUACUGUGAGGGGGAGGUGGUCCCAUGGUGGAGAGGGUUAUGGAGGAGGAGAGGUGGGUUGGAAGGUACAAGUAGCCCCCAUAUUGAUUGCCAAGAUGCUCUCCACCGGCCUUGUCCUCGGGGAGGCCUGUGCACACCCUUGAGGUGCCUGCGUGGCACGUGGGCUCUGGGCAUGUGGCACGCUAGGCUCUGCUGUGGGAGGUUGCUGUAAUGCAGCUGUGGGGAGCCAGCCACAUGCACCCUCCUCACAGAAAGCACCCCUCGCCCCUGCACAGAGCCCUUCACCCAGGCAGGGAUUUGAACCACAACGUGCUGCCCUGCAAACGGAUGGUGAUGCCGGGGCAGGAGCGAUGCUGAUGGCAAACUGUCCCUUUGGGGUUGUCAGGGGCAUUACCGGGCACGCUGGAGUGCCUCCAAGAAGCAGCAGUGGAGGCUGGAGUGGUGCUGGACAUCGCUACAGGUGCCUUGCAACCCCUGUGGAGUGUCCCACUCCAGCUCCUCCCUUUCCCCCCACUCUGGAAAAGCUCCCUCCACGGAAAGCCACCCCUCUGCCUGUGUGUUGUCCUGCGGGGCACGAAAUGGUGUGAAAUUACUGAGCACUCCAUGAAAGCUGCAGUUCGGUGUUGAAGUUCCUCAGAGCUGAAGCUGCUGCCUGGUAGCAAUGAGAGCCCACCAGGGUUUGGGUCAUCUUUCUGGGACACGGAGCAGGAUUUUAAGCGCUGUCAAAGCCAGCACAUAUUUUUCCCAGGUGAACUACACCUCUGGAAAGAAUUGCCUCAUCUUUUACAGAAUACUGUUUAAAUAAACAGUGCCCCACCAUCAUUUUUGCUUUUGAAAUUAACUCCUUCAGGCCACGAGGUUUACCCAUCCCAGUGCAAAAUAUCUGCCAGGACUUCUAAAGAUUUAAAGAAGUGUCUGGGAGAGAAAAAUUAAUCCUGACAGGUGAGAGCCUGUAAAUCUCUCCCCUUCCCCAUGGCAGUCGAGGAUGGGCUUGUGGGAGCAGCCUGCCCGUUUCAGAACUGGGUGCCACUGCAUCGAUGUUACUUAAAAGGAGUUCUGUGCGUAUUAGUGUGCAUACACUGAGGGCAGGCUGCGUGAUGCAUGGGGACAGCCUAUUCCCUGGCUGAGUAGAACUAUCUUGUUUUCUAAUCUAACCUACUUUUUUUUUUUCUUCUUUUUUUUUUUUUGUUGUUGUUGUCAGAAGUUGGUGCUUUGCAGAAACCUGUUCUCAGUGCAAUCUCAGAGCUUUUUGUGGGUGUCUGAUUUCUGUAACACGUUUUGGUUUCCAGUAUGAAUGUAACGUACAAAGCAUAUCAUGACACUGCUCUAGGUGUAUGUGAUCUUAUCUACCUGACAUUUAGGGGUUUUUAUAACCGUCCAAUUCAUGUGAUUUGCAUAAAACUCACAUGAUUUUACUUUUGUGUUGUUUUUUUUUUUUAAUCAUGCAUCAUCAUCAUAACAAACCACUCAGCUUUACCAGGCUGUUUUCUGCCUGGCUGCAUGAAUGCAGUGUCCAUCUCCCUCCGUCCCGUUCCUCCACGACAAAGGUUGGAGGAUAUUCAAGGUAGUACUCGGAGGGGACCUGCAAUCCCAGCCAGCCACUGAAUCCUUAAUAACCAAAUGUGUACGCUUGAACUUCCAAGAAAACAAAGCAGCUGAGCACACAUCCCAUCCGGUUCUUGUUAAUUUAACUAGACGAGGCUUCUCUUUAUUGAUAAGGAAACUCCUCCGGAACAGCCCCCCGGAUCCCAGAAGGCUCCCCCUGCCGCGGCCGUCCUCAUUACAAAACAAGGCCACAAUUAAAAUAAACUCCAAGAGCUAAACAAA
This is a long non-coding RNA of Pogoniulus pusillus (Red-fronted tinkerbird), 4246 nucleotides long. RefSeq lists it as uncharacterized. The transcript has 2 exons. The record is from RefSeq and is a predicted model, not a curated record. Lineage: Eukaryota; Metazoa; Chordata; Aves; Piciformes; Lybiidae.